UCACGAGUGCGCUUGUGUGGAAUGAUCGGAUUGUCUGAUGGUGUAGUUGCAAAACGUGCUCGUCGAACUCCUACAGUCGAAACUUCUCGACCACGUUUCCACGCCGACGGUGAGGCUCUUCUUCGCGGUACAGAGUCUAUACAGAGUCAGCUGAAAAAUGACUGAAUCGUGCUCAUCUGAUGAAUCUGGAGAUGAAGAGGAAGUUUUUCGUGAUUUCGAUGCAGAAGCGCAGCUAAUCAUUCAAACGGAAACGUUACCAAAGAAAUCUGCGAAUAGAUAUAUGUUAGUUUAUGAUACUUACAAAAAGCGGCAGAAUGAUCAUAAAAGUUCUCUGUCAGACUCUCAAGAAAGUAACUUAAUAGUGUAUUUUAAAGAACUAACCUCAAAGUUGAAACCGCCAACUUUGUGGAGCAUCUGGUCAAUGUUAAAGAAAACAUUAAAUACUAGAGACAAUGUUGAUAUUAGUAAAUUUCAUAAUUUAAAAAGUAUGAUGAAAAAAAUUCUAAAGGCUAUAAACCAAAAAAAUCAUUAGUAUUAAAAUGGACUGAUAUAGUAAAGUUUUUAGACACUGCAUCAGACUAUAUACAUUUAGCUUUAAAGCUCUGAGGUGCAAUGAACUCACAAAUCUUAAAGUGCAAGAUAUUGAAGAUUUGGGCAACAGUUUCAAUCAAUGAAACAAAAAAUGAUAAACGUCGUCAAUUCAUAAUUGGAGAACAUUUUUAUGAUAAAGUCAAGAAAUACAUCUCGUUGAGACCAAGUGAUCUAUCAAGUGACAUGUUUUUUAUCCAAUAUCAGAAAGGAAAGUGCGUUCAUCAAGUCAUCGGUAGGAAUAAAAUAGGAGAAACACCUCAAGCAAUCGCUUCAUAUUUAGACUUACUUAAAUAAAUAAAAAAAAAAUAUUUAGACUUACAAGACGCAAACAGAUAUACUGGACAUUGCUUCCGUAGGACUGGAGCAACACUUUUGUCUGACUCGAGUGCAAAUAUCACAAUGCUCAAGCAGCUAGGAAGAUGGAAAUCAACUAAUAUAGCACAAGUUAUAUUGGUUAUAUUCUCUACAGAUUACGUAGAAAACUCUAUGAAAAACAGAGAGAAGAUUUAUGAAAGCAUAAUCCAUGCAUCUGUACCUAAUACUCAUUCAGUUUUACUACAAUGUCAACCAUCGACCAGUAAGAACAGUUCAAGUAAAAUCAUUGCGAAUGGGUCUGCAUUAUCAGAAGCAGUGGAUGAUGAUGUUUUUGAUGACAUUGAAAUAAGUGAGCAAGAUUUAAUUGCGAUUGAUCAAAUAAGUAAAAAAAAAAAAUAAGUACUUAAAUCAUCGACAGCUGAUUUUACAACUGCAAGGAACACAAAAAUAGAUGUACCAAGCAGCAAGGAAUCAACGCCACCAAAACAUUUUAGUUCAAGAUCACCUGUUAAAGUUUGUUUCAAAAGAUCAGAAAAUGAACGACCGUUAAAAAAAGUAAAGCACACAGAAAGUAAAUCUUGUGCACGUGGACAAGUUUUACAAUAUUUAUCAGAUCAAAGUGUACGCAAUAAUAGUGAUGUGAACAUCGUAGAUCAAGAAAUACAGAAUAAUGUAAGUUCUGAUGAUAGGAUUAAGUAUGAAAAUUGCGUAUUUCAUGGGAACAUUAUCAAUAAUUAUUAUUGUUCAUGUACAAAUUUAAAAAAAUAAACGAAAGGAUAAUCAUGUAUAGUUAAUAAAGAAACUUUGUAAGAAA
RNA transcript from Nasonia vitripennis (jewel wasp), 1720 nucleotides. RefSeq lists it as uncharacterized. The record is from RefSeq and is a predicted model, not a curated record. Lineage: Eukaryota; Metazoa; Arthropoda; Insecta; Hymenoptera; Pteromalidae. The transcript is spliced from 3 exons.